RNAcentral lists this ribosomal RNA (253 nucleotides) under uncultured bacterium. Its description in RNAcentral is "partial 16S ribosomal RNA". It matches the Rfam family "Bacterial small subunit ribosomal RNA", at positions 524 to 776 of the family's 1533-position model. The record is from RNAcentral.
UACGGAGGGUGCAAGCGUUAUCCGGAUUCACUGGGUUUAAAGGGUGCGUAGGUGGAUUAGUAAGUCAGUGGUGAAAUCUCCGGGCUUAACCCGGAAACUGCCAUUGAUACUAUUAGUCUUGAAUACCGUGGAGGUCAGCGGAAUAUGUCAUGUAGCGGUGAAAUGCUUAGAUAUGACAUAGAACACCAAUUGCGAAGGCAGCUGGCUACACGAAUAUUGACUCUGAGGCACGAAAGCGUGGGGAUCAAACAGG